UAGGCGUACGGGUGGGUAACACGUGGAUAAUCUACCUCUUAGUGGGGAAUAACUCUGGGAAACCGGAGCUAAUACCGCAUAAGCCUGGAAAGGGAAAGCAGCAAUGCGCUGAGAGAGGAGUCCGCGGCCGAUUAGCUAGUUGGCAGGGUAACAGCCUACCAAGGCAUUGAUCGGUAGCCGGCCUGAGAGGGCACACGGCCACACUGGCACUGAAACACGGGCCAG
This 225-nucleotide ribosomal RNA is filed under the name uncultured bacterium. RNAcentral's name for it is "partial 16S ribosomal RNA". It matches the Rfam family "Bacterial small subunit ribosomal RNA", at positions 95 to 334 of the family's 1533-position model. The record is from RNAcentral.